CUAUCACUGGAGUCAGCGGCGGACGGGUGAGUAAUACGUAGGAAUCUGCCUCUAGGUGAGGGAUAACGGGCUGAAAGGUCCGCUAAUACCUCAUGUGCGAGCAAUCGUGAAAGGAGCAAUUCGCCUGGAGAUGAGCCUGCGUCCGAUUAGCUAGUUGGCGGGGUAAUAGCCCACCAAGGCAACGAUCGGUAGUUGGUCUGAGAGGAUGAUCAGCCACAAUGGGACUGAGACACGGCCCAUACUCCUACGGGAGGCAGCAGUGGGGAAUUUUACGCAAUGGGGGAAACCCUGAUGUAGCGACACCGCGUGAGCGAAGAAGCCCUUUGGGGUGUAAAGCUCUGUCAGCUGGAACGAAAACAAUGACGGUACCAGCAGAGGAAGCAUCGGCUAACUACGUGCCAGCAGCCGCGGUAAGACGUAGGAUGCAAGCGUCGUCCGGAUUCAUUGGGCGUAAAGAGUUCGUAGGUGGUUUGUUAAGUCUGGUGUUAAAGGCCCGGGCCCAACCCUGGAGGUGCAUCGGAUACUGGCAGACUUGAGUGCGUUAGAGGUGAGUGGAAUUCCCAGUGUAGCGGUGAAAUGCAUAGAUAUUGGGAAGAACACCGGUGGCGUAAGCGACUCACUGGGACGUAACUGACACUGAGGAACGAAAGCCGGGGGAGCGAAUGGGAUUAGAUACCCCAGUAGUCCCGGCUGUAAACGAUGGAUACUAGGCGUUGUGGGUAUCGACCCCCGCAGUGCCGUAGCUAACGCGAUAAGUAUCCCGCCUGAGUAGUACGGCCGCAAGGUUGAAACUCAAAGGAAUUGACGGGGGCCCGCACAAGCGGUGGAACAUGUGGUUUAAUUCGAAGCAACGCGAAGAACCUUACCAGGGCUUGACAUCUGGAGAACCUCCCGGAAACGGGAGGGUGCCUUUCGGGGAGCUCCAAGACAGGUGGUGCAUGGCUGUCGUCAGCUCGUGUCGUGAGAUGUUGGGUUAAGUCCCGCAACGAGCGCAACCC
RNAcentral lists this ribosomal RNA (998 nucleotides) under uncultured bacterium. Its description in RNAcentral is "bacterial SSU rRNA". It matches the Rfam family "Bacterial small subunit ribosomal RNA", at positions 80 to 1104 of the family's 1533-position model. The record is from RNAcentral.